ACGUAGGGUGCGAGCGUUAAUCGGAAUUACUGGGCGUAAAGUGUGCGCAGGCGGCGUUGCAAGUCGGUUGUGAAAGCCCCGGGCUCAACCUGGGAAUUGCAUCCGAAACUGCGUUGCUGGAGUACGGAAGAGGAAGGCGGAAUUCCCGGUGUAGCGGUGAAAUGCGUAGAUAUCGGGAGGAACAUCAGUGGCGAAGGCGGCCUUCUGGUCCAGAACCGACGUUCAGGCACGAAAGCGUGGGGAGCAAACGGGA
Molecule: ribosomal RNA, 253 nt
Filed under: uncultured prokaryote
Description: partial 16S ribosomal RNA
Rfam family: Bacterial small subunit ribosomal RNA
Source: RNAcentral